RNAcentral lists this long non-coding RNA (232 nucleotides) under Vitis vinifera (wine grape). RNAcentral's name for it is "long non-coding RNA (VVIN_LNC007788)". The record is from RNAcentral. Lineage: Eukaryota; Viridiplantae; Streptophyta; Magnoliopsida; Vitales; Vitaceae.
UUCAUGAAUUUGAGCUUCCAAAAGCUUUUCCAUAAACUAUAUACAGCUCUCCCUCAUUCUUGGAUUGCUUUGGUGAUCAAAUUACUAACAAAAACACCAAAACUUACACAAUUUGAUUAGAAAUGAUUGCAAGGGUCCUUAACAUGUUAAUUGAGUUAAAAGGCAAUAACUACUACUCAAAAGUGUUUAAAAAGAUUAAUUACAAGCUAUAAAAUAGCACUUUUUGAGUAGU